UGGGGAAUAUUGCGCAAUGGUCGAAAGACUGACGCAGCGACGCCGCGUGGAGGAUGACGCCCUUCGGGGUGUAAACUCCUGUUGCUCGGGACGAACCGUGGAAUUCAUUCCACCUGACGGUACCGAGUGAGGAAGCACCGGCUAACUCUGUGCCAGCAGCCGCGGUAAUACAGAGGGUGCGAGCGUUGUCCGGAAUCACUGGGCGUAAAGGGCGCGUAGGCGGCUUGACAAGCGUGCGGUGAAAGCUCGGGGCUCAACCCCGAGUCGGCCGUGCGAACUGUCAGGCUUGAGCACAGUAGAGGCAGAUGGAAUUCCGGGUGUAGCGGUGGAAUGCGUAGAGAUCCGGAAGAACACCGGUGGCGAAGGCGGUCUGCUGGGCUGUGGCUGACGCUGAUGCGCGACAGCGUGGGGAGCAAACAG
RNAcentral lists this ribosomal RNA (420 nucleotides) under uncultured bacterium. Its description in RNAcentral is "bacterial SSU rRNA". It matches the Rfam family "Bacterial small subunit ribosomal RNA", at positions 355 to 775 of the family's 1533-position model. The record is from RNAcentral.